This 1494-nucleotide ribosomal RNA is filed under the name metagenome. RNAcentral describes it as "bacterial SSU rRNA". It matches the Rfam family "Bacterial small subunit ribosomal RNA". The record is from RNAcentral.
AGAGUUUGAUCCUGGCUCAGAACGAACGCUGGCGGCGUGCUUAACACAUGCAAGUCGCACGAGAAAGUUCUUCGGAAUGAGUAAAGUGGCGCACGGGUGAGUAAUACAUAGGAACAUGCCUUCAGGAGGGGGAUAACUACUGGAAACGGUAGCUAAUACCGCAUGAUCUCGUAAGAGCAAAGGUGGCCUCUAUUUAUAAGCCACCACCUGAAGAUUGGCCUAUGUCCCAUUAGCUAGUUGGCAGGGUAAUGGCCUACCAAGGCUACGAUGGGUAGCUGGUCUGAGAGGACGAUCAGCCACACUGGAACUGAGACACGGUCCAGACUCCUACGGGAGGCAGCAGUGGGGAAUCUUGCGCAAUGGGCGAAAGCCUGACGCAGCAACGCCGCGUGAGUGAAGAAGGCCUUUGGGUUGUAAAGCUCUUUCGACUGGGAAGAAGGGAUCCACCGUGAAUAACAUUGGAUUUUGACGGUACCAGGAGAAGAAGCCCCGGCUAACUUCGUGCCAGCAGCCGCGGUAAUACGAAGGGGGCGAGCGUUGUUCGGAAUCAUUGGGCGUAAAGGGCGCGUAGGCGGACUUAUAAGUCGAUUGUGAAAUCCCUGGGCUUAACCCGGGAAUUGCAGUCGAAACUGCAAGUCUUGAGUUCUCGAGAGGAUGGUGGAAUUCCUGGAGUAGUAGUGAAAUACGUAGAUAUCAGGAGGAACACCGGAGGCGAAGGCGGCCAUCUGGCGAGACACUGACGCUAAGGCGCGAAAGCGUGGGUAGCAAACAGGAUUAGAUACCCUGGUAGUCCACGCCUUAAACGAUGAAUACUAGAUGUUCGGAGAGUUAACCCUCUGAGUAUCGAAGCUAACGCAUUAAGUAUUCCGCCUGGGAAGUACGGCCGCAAGGUUGAAACUCAAAGGAAUUGACGGGGGCCCGCACAAGCGGUGGAGUAUGUGGUUUAAUUCGAAGCAACGCGCAGAACCUUACCUGGUCUUGACAUCCCUUGAUCGCUGCAGAGAUGUAGUUUCCUCUUCGGAGGCAAGGAGACAGGUGCUGCAUGGCUGUCGUCAGCUCGUGUCGUAGGAUGUUGGGUUAAGUCCCGCAACGAGCGCAACCCCUGCUUCUAGUUGCGACCAUUAAGUUGAGCACUCUAGAGGGACUGCCGGUGUUAAACCGGAGGAAGGCGGGGACGACGUCAAGUCCUCAUGGCCCUUACGACCAGGGCUACACACGUACUACAAUGGUGGAAACAAAGCGCCGCAAAACCGCGAGGUGGAGCGAAUCGCAAAAACACCAUCACAGUCCGGAUUGGAGACUGCAACUCGACUCCAUGAAGUUGGAAUCGCUAGUAAUCGCAGAUCAGCACGCUGCGGUGAAUACGUUCCCGGGCCUUGUACACACCGCCCGUCACACCACGAAAGUGGUCAUAACCAGAAGCAGGCGAGCCAACCGCAAGGAGGCAGCCUACCAAGGUUGUGGCCGUGAUUGGGGUGAAGUCGUAACAAGGUA